This is a long non-coding RNA of Neoarius graeffei (lesser salmon catfish), 247 nucleotides long. RefSeq lists it as uncharacterized. The transcript has 4 exons. Lineage: Eukaryota; Metazoa; Chordata; Actinopteri; Siluriformes; Ariidae. The record is from RefSeq and is a predicted model, not a curated record.
UAAAAAUGAAACAGGAAAAGCAUAUUCCAGGAUUACUUUUUCAUUUGCAUAGAAAGACACUUUAAAGGAGUGGAUGAUACGUCAGACUCUGAUUCUGAGAUUGUCAUCACAUCAAGGAGCACAGGUUUUUGAACCACAAAACCAAAGUACUCCCCAACACAAACCUGAUGAUGAAAGAUAGUAAGAUCUGAUACUGAGGAUCUGGAUCCACCUGAAACAAAUCCAGACAAGACUUCUUGCUACAGGG